GAUGAACGCUGACGGCGUGCCUAAUACAUGCAAGUCGAGCGAACGGACGAGAAGCUUGCUUCUCUGAUGUUAGCGGCGGACGGGUGAGUAACACGUGGAUAACCUACCUAUAAGACUGGGAUAACUUCGGGAAACCGGAGCUAAUACCGGAUAAUAUUUUGAACCGCAUGGUUCAAAAGUGAAAGACGGUCUUGCUGUCACUUAUAGAUGGAUCCGCGCUGCAUUAGCUAGUUGGUAAGGUAACGGCUUACCAAGGCAACGAUGCAUAGCCGACCUGAGAGGGUGAUCGGCCACACUGGAACUGAGACACGGUCCAGACUCCUACGGGAGGCAGCAGUAGGGAAUCUUCCGCAAUGGGCGAAAGCCUGACGGAGCAACGCCGCGUGAGUGAUGAAGGUCUUCGGAUCGUAAAACUCUGUUAUUGGGGAAGAACAUAUGUGUAAGUAACUGUGCACAUCUUGACGGUACCUAAUCAGAAAGCCACGGCUAACUACGUG
This 497-nucleotide ribosomal RNA is filed under the name uncultured bacterium. Its description in RNAcentral is "partial 16S ribosomal RNA". It matches the Rfam family "Bacterial small subunit ribosomal RNA", at positions 28 to 507 of the family's 1533-position model. The record is from RNAcentral.